AACAGUCGUAGUAGUUUCGAUCCGUGGCUACAGGACGACGCUGGCGGCACGCUUAACACAUGCAAGUCGAACGGAGUUAUUUAGAGCUUGCUUUGAAUAACUUAGUGGCGGACGGGUGAGUAACACGUGAGCAACCUGCCUUUAAGAGCGGAAUAGCUUCUGGAAACGGAUGGUAAUACCGCAUAACAUUACCGGAUCGCAUGAUCUGGUAAUCAAAGAUUUAUCGCUUAAAGAUGGGCUCGCGUCUGAUUAGAUAGUUGGUGGGGUAACGGCCUACCAAGUCGACGAUCAGUAGCCGGACUGAGAGGUUGAACGGCCACAUUGGGACUGAGACACGGCCCAGACUCCUACGGGAGGCAGCAGUGGGGAAUAUUGCACAAUGGGCGGAAGCCUGAUGCAGCGAUGCCGCGUGGAGGAAGAAGGUUUUCGGAUUGUAAACUCCUUUUAUCAGGGACGAUAAUGACGGUACCUGAAGAAAAAGCUCCGGCUAACUACGUGCC
Molecule: ribosomal RNA, 500 nt
Filed under: uncultured organism
Description: SSU rRNA
Rfam family: Bacterial small subunit ribosomal RNA
Source: RNAcentral